This 951-nucleotide ribosomal RNA is filed under the name uncultured Methanobrevibacter sp. Its description in RNAcentral is "bacterial SSU rRNA". It matches the Rfam family "Archaeal small subunit ribosomal RNA", at positions 45 to 998 of the family's 1478-position model. The record is from RNAcentral. Lineage: Archaea; Methanobacteriati; Methanobacteriota; Methanobacteria; Methanobacteriales; Methanobacteriaceae.
UAAGCCAUGCGAGUCGAACGAGUUUAGGCUCGUGGCGUACGGCUCAGUAACACGUGGAUAACCUACCCUUAGGACCGGGAUAACCUUGGGAAACUGAGGACAAUACUGGAUAGGCAAUUUUUCCUGUAAUGGUUUUUUGUUUAAAUGUUUUUUCGCCUAAGGAUGGGUCUGCGGCCGAUUAGGUAGUUGGUUAGGUAAUGGCUUACCAAGCCGUUGAUCGGUACGGGUUGUGAGAGCAAGAGCCCGGAGAUGGAACCUGAGACAAGGUUCCAGGCCCUACGGGGUGCAGCAGGCGCGAAACCUCCGCAAUGUGAGAAAUCGCGACGGGGGGAUCCCAAGUGCCAUUCUUAACGGGAUGGCUUUUCAUUAGUGUAAAAAGCUUUUGGAAUAAGAGCUGGGCAAGACCGGUGCCAGCCGCCGCGGUAACACCGGCAGCUCUAGUGGUAGCAAUUUUUAUUGGGCCUAAAGCGUCCGUAGCCGGUUUAAUAAGUCUCUGGUGAAAUCCUGUAGCUUAACUGUGGGAAUUGCUGGAGAUACUAUUAGACUUGAGACCGGGAGAGGUUAGAGGUACUCCCAGGGUAGAGGUGAAAUUCUGUAAUCCUGGGAGGACCGCCUGUUGCGAAGGCGUCUAACUGGAACGGUUCUGACGGUGAGGGACGAAAGUUAGGGGCGCGAACCGGAUUAGAUACCCGGGUAGUCCUAACUGUAAACGAUGCGGACUUGGUGUUGGGGUGGCUUUGAGCUGCUCCAGUGCCGAAGGGAAGCUGUUAAGUCCGCCGCCUGGGAAGUACGGUCGCAAGACUGAAACUUAAAGGAAUUGGCGGGGGAGCACCACAACGCGUGGAGCCUGCGGUUUAAUUGGAUUCAACGCCGGACAUCUCACCAGAGGCGACAGCUGUAUGAUAGCCAGGUUGAUGACUUUGCUUGACUAGCUGAGAGGUGGUGCAUGGC